This 1087-nucleotide ribosomal RNA is filed under the name Metschnikowia reukaufii. Its description in RNAcentral is "partial 26S ribosomal RNA". The stretch from base 240 to 1087 matches the Rfam family "Eukaryotic large subunit ribosomal RNA", at positions 1 to 632 of the family's 3401-position model. The record is from RNAcentral. Lineage: Eukaryota; Fungi; Ascomycota; Pichiomycetes; Serinales; Metschnikowiaceae.
AAGAAAAAUAGGACGUUCCCGUCCUUCUAAAAGAAAAAACCCUCCCCGCCCCGUAAAAAAAAAUAACUUUCCCCCCCUCCAAGAAAAAAAAAACCCUCCUCCCCUCUUAAUAAAAAAAAAAAACUCCCCCCCCCCCAAAAAAAAAAACAGUGCGUUCGUUUUUUAUAAAAAAAGAGAAGCGUGCCCCCCCCUUAAAAAAAAAACGCGGGGGGCUUUUGUUUUAUAGGAGAGAAAAAAUCCCCCCCGGAAAAAAAAAACCCCACCCCCGGAAUAUAUAUAUGCGGAGGAAAAGAAACCACAGGGGGAUUGCUUCAGUAACGGCGAGUGAAGCGGCAAAAGCUAAAUUUGAAAUCUUCGGGAAUGUAUUUUGAAGGUGGGUUUGGUUCGGAAAAGUUACUUUAAGUCCAUUGGAAAAUGGCGCCAUGGAGGGUGAUAGCCCAAAAAAAGUAUCCCUUUUCCUUUUAUCCAUUCCCUCCAAAGAGUCGAGUUGUUUGGGAAUGCAGCUCUAAGUGGGUGGUAAAUUCCAUCUAAAGCUAAAUAUUGGCGAGAGACCGAUAGCGAACAAGUACAGUGAUGGAAAGAUGAAAAGCACUUUGAAAAGAGAGUGAAAAAAGUACGUGAAAUUGUUGAAAGGGAAGGGCUUGCAAGCAGACCCAACCUCGGUUGGGCCAGCAUCGGAGUGGGGGGAGACAAAAAAAGAAAAGGAGUGUAACUCUUUUAAUAUUUUAGCCUUUUUUUCUUAUUUCCCCCCCCUUCCGAGGGCGGCGAAUCUUCCGGGUGCUGGCUAAAGGGGGGGGGGUGUCCGGGGGGGAAAAAGGACCCCCCCGGCGGGAAAAAAAAACGGGGAAAAAAUCCCCCCCCAAAAAACAAACACAAGUUUUUUUUUUUGGGGGGGAGAAAUUUUUUUUUUUUUAAAAGGGGCACGUUUUUAUUUAAAGGGGGAACUUUUUUUUUAGAGAAGAGGGGGGAUUUGUUAGAGGAGAGGGGAACCUCCCGACACAAACACAAAGAUGCGGUAAAAUACAAAGGAACUUUAUUUUCAUUUCCAAGGGGAGCCAAGUGUUGAUAACUAACCGGGGCUAUAUAA